AUGGACAUGAGGGCCCCUGCUCAGCUCCUUGGUCUCCUGUUGCUCUGGUUUCCAGGUGGCAGAUGUGACAUCCAGAUGACCCAGUCUCCAUCUUCCCUGUCUGCAUCUUUGAGAGACAGAGUCACCAUCUCUUGCCAGGCUAGUCAGAGUGUUGGCACAUAUUUAUACUGGUUCCAGCAGAAACCAGGGAAAUCUCCUAAGCGCCUGAUCUAUCGGGCAUCCAACUUAGCAGAUGGGGUCCCAUCACGGUUCAGUGGCAGUGGGUCUGGGACAGAUUUUACUCUCACCAUCAGCAGCCUGGAGCCUGAAGACAUUGCAACCUAUUACUGUCUUCAGACUGAUGAGUUUCCUCCCACAGUGAUACAAGUCAUUACAUAA
Non-coding RNA from Arvicola amphibius (Eurasian water vole), 378 nucleotides. NCBI's taxonomy places the organism in Eukaryota, Metazoa, Chordata, Mammalia, Rodentia, Cricetidae. The record is from the annotation of a RefSeq genome assembly.